This 456-nucleotide long non-coding RNA is filed under the name Rattus norvegicus (Norway rat). Its description in RNAcentral is "long non-coding RNA NONRATT026242". The record is from RNAcentral. Lineage: Eukaryota; Metazoa; Chordata; Mammalia; Rodentia; Muridae.
UGUGUCGGGGAAGAGGAGUGGGGGCAGGGUGUAACCUGCCUACAGUUGAUUUUCAAAUUCGCAUGUGGGCCUGAUGGAAGAAGACACUUUUCGCCACGCCUUCCUUUAUUAACUCUCGUGUUUGUUUUGUAAUUGUGCAUUUUUCUGAUUAUUUAUUUAAAAGCUAAAGAGUAAUUUCGCGCUUUUUUCUGGGAGAAGAGAUCCACUAGUCUCUCAAGGCUUCCCCCAACUGAAUCAGGAAGGAAUCAGAUUUUAACUACGUGUUGGGAGUGGUGCAUGUGAGUGCAAGUGUCUGGAGUCCAACAGCAUCGGAUCCUCUAAAGCUGGAGUCUCAAGAGUGCAAGUUCUAGAAAACAAACUCAGGCCCUCUGGGCCAGCAGCAACUAUUCUCCCCGGCCCCGUUUUAGUCUUACCUUUAAAUGAUUAUUAAACAAUACCCCCAUUUUUCUGUAUUUU